This 349-nucleotide ribosomal RNA is filed under the name uncultured fungus. Its description in RNAcentral is "eukaryotic LSU rRNA". The stretch from base 1 to 72 matches the Rfam family "5.8S ribosomal RNA", at positions 84 to 154 of the family's 154-position model. The record is from RNAcentral. Lineage: Eukaryota; Fungi.
GUGAGUCAUCGAAUCUUUGAACGCACCUUGCACUCCUUGGGUAUUCCGAGGAGUAUGCCUGUUUGAGUGUCAUUAUAUUCUCAAAAACCUAGGUGUUCUCUGAAUGACUAGGCUUUUUGGAUGAUGAGGGAUUGCUUGGCUUUCUAUCGAGUCCGGUUCCCUUCAAAUGUAUUAGUGGUUGCUUCAUUCACUAGAGUGUGAUAGUAUAUCUACGCUUGUUACAGUGAACUUGAAUAUAAAUCAUCUGCUUUCCAACUGUCUUGAAACAUAACAGGACAUAUUUUGACUAUUUGACCUCUAAAUCAGGUAGGACUACCCGACUGAACUUAAGCAUAUCAAUAAGCGGAGG